CCUACGGGUGGCAGCAGUGAGGAAUAUUGGUCAAUGGCCGGAAGGCUGAACCAGCCAUGCCGCGUGAAGGUCAGUGCCCUAUGGGCGUUAAACUUCUUUUGUGCGGGAGCAAUAAUGGCCAUGUGUGGCCAGACGAGAGUACCGUACGAAUAAGCAUCGGCUAACUCCGUGCCAGCAGGCGCGGUAUUACGGGGGGUGCAAGCGUUUUCCGGAUUUAUUGGGUUUAAAGGGUGUGUAGGAUGGGAGGUAAGUCAGCAGUGAAAUGCCCCCGCUCAAAGGGGUGAAGUGCCAUUGAUACUGCCUUGCUGGAGUGCGGAAGACGUAGGAGGAAUGUGUGGUGUAGCGGUGAAAUGCAUAGAUAUCACGCAGAACACCGAUUGCGAAGGCAUCUCACGAAUCCGCGAUUGACGCUGAUGCACGAAAGCGUGGGUAUCAAACAGGAUUAGAUACCCCAGUAGUC
Molecule: ribosomal RNA, 460 nt
Filed under: uncultured bacterium
Lineage: Bacteria
Description: partial 16S ribosomal RNA
Rfam family: Bacterial small subunit ribosomal RNA
Source: RNAcentral